GAUGAACGCUGGCGGCGUGCCUAAUACAUGCAAGUCGAGCGAACAGACGAGGAGCUUGCUCCUCUGACGUUAGCGGCGGACGGGUGAGUAACACGUGGAUAACCUACCUAUAAGACUGGGAUAACUUCGGGAAACCGGAGCUAAUACCGGAUAAUAUAUUAAACCGCAUGGUUCAAUAGUAAAAGACGGUUUUGCUGUCCCUUAUAAAUGGAUCCGCGCCGCAUUAGCUAGUUGGUAAGGUAACGGCUUACCAAGGCGACGAUGCGUAGCCGACCUGAGAGGGUGAUCGGCCACACUGGAACUGAGACACGGUCCAGACUCCUACGGGAGGCAGCAGUAGGGAAUCUUCCGCAAUGGGCGAAAGCCUGACGGAGCAACGCCGCGUGAGUGAUGAAGGUCUUCGGAUCGUAAAACUCUGUUAUUAGGGAAGAACAAAUGUGUAAGUAACUAUGCACGUCUUGACGGUACCUAAUCAGAAAGCCACGGCUAACUACGUG
This 497-nucleotide ribosomal RNA is filed under the name uncultured bacterium. Its description in RNAcentral is "partial 16S ribosomal RNA". It matches the Rfam family "Bacterial small subunit ribosomal RNA", at positions 28 to 507 of the family's 1533-position model. The record is from RNAcentral.